RNAcentral lists this long non-coding RNA (235 nucleotides) under Lathyrus oleraceus (garden pea). RNAcentral's name for it is "Pisum sativum (pea) long non-coding RNA (PSAT_LNC010519)". Lineage: Eukaryota; Viridiplantae; Streptophyta; Magnoliopsida; Fabales; Fabaceae. The record is from RNAcentral.
UGCUAACUUCAAGUGGAUUAAAGAAGUGGUUACCGACCCAUUAGUUGAAGUAUCGAUAAGUAGUCCACUACUCAAAGUAGACACUACAAGACCCAAUCUUUUCACACAGUCAGUAGAAAUAAAUGAGUGUAUCACACCCAUGUCAAUAAUAGUAAUCAAAGGAAUAUUGUGAAUGUAAAAUGUACCUCAGAUCAACCUCUUAGAGCUGGUAGUCUAAGGUCCUGCCAGUGCAAAC